RNAcentral lists this long non-coding RNA (1125 nucleotides) under Marmota monax (woodchuck). The record is from RNAcentral. Lineage: Eukaryota; Metazoa; Chordata; Mammalia; Rodentia; Sciuridae.
GCUGCACCGGUUGCUGGUGCAUCCUGCGCCCUUUGUCGCCUAACACACCAGUCGGGGUCCGAUGUCCCCGGAUUGGGGUAACUGGAGAGGGGGCGUAGGAGCAGCGGGCAAAGCGAUCUGCGGGGCGCGGGUGGGAAGAGGAAAACCGGGGUCGAGCACCUCUCAGCGGAAAGGGGCUGGGCAAGCGGGGUUCACUGAUGCCGCCGCGGGAAGGGCGUGGCGCUCCCACCUGCGCCCGCGGCGCCCCCUGCCGGCCGCCCCAGCACACACUCGCGAUUUCUCCAGGCUUUCAAUUGAAUGGUGGAAUGGCCUGUGUCCUUCCUGGAGCUGUGGUCCAGAGUGAGAUAUUAUUGUGCUCUCGCCUCUUUCUGGUUUGGAACUUGAGGAUGGAAAAGAUGCAUUCCCUCAUAAUUAAUUUAGGUGGCUGUCAACUGUGGCCACAGCUGGACCCAGGCGAAGAGCACAGACUGAGAAAUUGAGGUGAGGGAAAGGAAAUACUGACCACAGCCUACAUGGGCUGCGAGUAAAACCUUGCUGCAUCUACUGCUAAGUUUGGAGCCAGUGGGCCUCUGGCCAUCCUGACCGUAAGCACCAGCCAUCUCCUAAGCAUUUGGGGUGGCCUUUCUUAAUUCCCAGCAUCACCCCGUACGUUAGCUGAUAUUAACCCCAUUUUAUAGAUUUUUUAAAAUCCUAUAAUCCAAAGAGUUAAUUAAGUAGCUGUCUUAUAGUCUCACAGCCAGAGCAAGCAGAGGUGGGAUUUGAACCUGAAUCUCUCUGACUUUGCAAUGUUAUUGCAGGUACAAAGCAGCCCUGCUUACACAUAGCCCCUCAUGAUUCCUUUGUGAAGGAGUCCCAACAUUUUCAGUUUUUUCUUCACCCUCUGUCACCUACUUCAAACCUGCCUCAGGCACUCCUUUGCCUUCUCUACCUCACUUUUCCAUUAUAAUGUGUUCUAUGAGAAGGAUCUGGAACUAGUUCACACUACAGUUUCAGUGACUGGUAACAGCCUGAAGUGUCCAACCCCCCCACCAUUUCCAAGAUUUGCCUUUAAAGUAGAAUCUAAGCUUCAAAUUAAAUAAUGGAAAUUCUUCGGGUAAUUGAUUUGACAGACAGGAAUGUGGGGCA